UCUGGCCCAUCUUGAUCAGUGCCUCAGUCUUGUUCUCUGCAUCGGUCGACCUCGCUCUCUCUUUUGAUGGCGAAGAGAGAUGAUAGCUGAAACCUUGAAUCUUCGAGGUUGAGGACGAUUUCAAGUCAAGCACGCCGUAAAUUUUGAUUAUGUUCGGUCGAAGUAGGUUUCUUUCUUUUCCGAUGGUGAUUGGAGCUGUUGUGAUCGGUGUGGUUUCUGGGAAGGCAAUAUUUGGCCCUCCACUUGAUGAGUAUUGGAAAAAGAAGCUUCAGGAAGAAGCAUCAGCAAAGGAGAAGGACUCAAGCUCAACUUAGCUCUCCAUCACAUUAAGUCUUGUCAUAAUUUGGCAUUUCUAUUGGACUAAAGUUGACAGGUGAUAGACAACAUUUUUAUUUUGGUUCUACUCGAAAUAGCAAGUGCAUCGGCUGGGCAUGGUUGUUAUAAGAAACACCUUCAGUUUCCAGUUGCUAAUCAUCAAGAAUCUUUCCCCCGCCUCUACCUUUUUCCAUUCUUUCUCUUUGCUGAUUUGAGUAACCUUUGUAUUCCCCUAAUUGUUUGACUUUGCAAAGUUAAUCAAAAUAAAUAUACAGAUAUUUAAUGUAAAAUUCGUAUUUAUUAGCUACUCUAUGCAAGCUUCAUUGGUAUU
Prosopis cineraria is the source of this 646-nucleotide long non-coding RNA. RefSeq lists it as uncharacterized. The record is from RefSeq and is a predicted model, not a curated record. The transcript is spliced from 2 exons. NCBI's taxonomy places the organism in Eukaryota, Viridiplantae, Streptophyta, Magnoliopsida, Fabales, Fabaceae.